Oxyura jamaicensis (ruddy duck) is the source of this 436-nucleotide long non-coding RNA. RefSeq lists it as uncharacterized. The transcript is spliced from 2 exons. The record is from RefSeq and is a predicted model, not a curated record. NCBI's taxonomy places the organism in Eukaryota, Metazoa, Chordata, Aves, Anseriformes, Anatidae.
UAUGGAUUUGUGUGACUGACAUUUGGUUGCUUUACAAAAAGCACCUAAAGCUGGAAGUCAAAAUCAGAACUAAAUCGUGCUAAGCAUUACAUAUGGCGCAUUUUUUCCUUAAUAAAUCUGUUGAUGUAUUUUUGUAGGUGAUAGAUUAACAUAAAAAUCCUGCCAGUCUGUUCCAGGGUCGUAAAACACAGAACAAGCUGUGGCCAGGCUAGCGAGGGAUACAGACCACGGUGCCUGCGGGAAGAAAUGGGAGCGGACAGAAGCGCGCUGGCAGAUGCCCCGCCGGUGCCACGGGUUGCAGCGCCCAGCAGGGUCCGGAACAAAAGCUGCAUUUUGUUACGGGUCCCAAGCAGAAAAACCUUACUGAGAGGUAAAUCAGGAGUCAUCUGGUCCUCCUUGCGUCUGGCUUGUUCCUCCACACCUGCAAAAGCCAGCA